Molecule: long non-coding RNA, 540 nt
Filed under: Homo sapiens (human)
Lineage: Eukaryota; Metazoa; Chordata; Mammalia; Primates; Hominidae
Description: non-protein coding lnc-ATP11B-13:1
Source: RNAcentral
AUUUGGUAUAUAAACUUACAGAGCAGAAGUAGAGCCCAUGUGGUUGUGCCAUCUGCCAAAUGCACUGGUCAAAUCAGAGGCCUACAGCCCAAAUAUACAGGUCAAAUCUGAGACCUACAGCCCAAAUGCACUGGUCAAAUCAGAGGCCUACAGGUCAAAUGCACUGGUCAAAUCAGAGGCUUACAGCCCAAAUGUACAGGUCAAAUCUGAGACCUACAGCCCAAAUGUACUGGUCAAAUCAGAGGCCUACAGCCCAAAUGCACUGGUCAAAUCAGAGGCCUACAGGUCAAAUGCACUGGUCAAAUCAGAGGCCUACAGCCCAAAUGUACUGGUCAAAUCAGAGGCCUACAGGUCAAAUGCACUGGUCAAAUCAGAGGCCUACAGCCCAAAUGCACUAGUCAAAUGAGAGCCCUACAGGUCAAUCUGGCAUUGCUGGCACUGUCGUCCAUGGGUAGCACUGCUUAGUCCCCUGUCCCCACCCACAAAACCACUUAGUUUUACUUGAAUCACAUGAAUAUACUCCAUGUAUUUUGAAAUCCU